RNAcentral lists this ribosomal RNA (429 nucleotides) under Triticum aestivum (bread wheat). RNAcentral's name for it is "partial small subunit ribosomal RNA". Lineage: Eukaryota; Viridiplantae; Streptophyta; Magnoliopsida; Poales; Poaceae. The record is from RNAcentral.
AUGAGCUUCUACAGCCUUCACGAGACGCUGCACCAUGAGAUCACCAAAGUCGAGUCUCGCUUCUACUGGGCUGGUGACAACAAUAAGCAGAAAUACCAUAUGGUUAGCUGGCCUGACAUAUGCAAGCCCCGGGACCAAGGAGGACUAGGUAUCAUGUGCUCGAAGCGCAUGAAUAUUGCCCUCCUAUCCCGAUGGCUUUGGCGCAUUUCGCAAGGGCACGGCGGCCUUUGGUUAGAUAUCAUCCGGAAUAAGUACCUGCGCGGACAACCCCUUGCUUUCUGUCAGCGCUCCGGCGGAUCCCAGUUUUGGCAGUCGAUUGUCCAACUCCUCCCGGUCCUCCGCAUUGGGACAUCCAUCUCGGUUGGGUCGGGUUCUGCGACCCUGUUCUGGUUCGACCGUUGGGCGGGUGAUUCCCCCUUCGCGGCAUGA